Rhipicephalus microplus (southern cattle tick) is the source of this 133-nucleotide long non-coding RNA. RefSeq lists it as uncharacterized. Lineage: Eukaryota; Metazoa; Arthropoda; Arachnida; Ixodida; Ixodidae. The record is from RefSeq and is a predicted model, not a curated record.
GAGCACUUUGAACUUCAUCGGCGCUGCUCCUGCGUUCAUCAAAUUGCGCCGUGAGUGAAUGCCUCCAUAGGAAGUCGACUCGUGCUCCACGUUUGUAUGUGUACACGUCAAAUAAAUUUUUUAUUUGCUCAAA